CACUUGCAAGUCGUACGAAAGUGUUAAACUCUAGUGGGCGGACGGGUGAGUAACACGUUGAGAAUUACCUUUAGGAGGGGAAAACAGUUGGAAACGACUCGCUAAUGCCGCAUAUCAUAACUAUGAAAGAAGAAAUUCGCCUAAAGAAAAGCUUGCGUCUGAUUAGCUAGUUGGUAAGGGUAAAGGCCUACCAAGGCGACGAUCAGUAGCUGGUUUGAGAGGACGACCAGUUACACUGGAACUGAGACACGGUCCAGACUCCUACGGGAGGCAGCAGUGGGGAAUUUUCUGCAAUGGGCGAAAGCCUGACAGAGCAAUACCGCGUGAGGGAAGAAAGCCCACAGGGUUGUAAACCUCUUUUGUCAAGGAAGAAGUUCUGACGUUACUUGACGAAUAAGCAUCGGCUAACUCCGUGCCAGCAGCCGCGGUAAGACGGGGGAUGCAAGUGUUAUCCGGAAUCACUGGGCGUAAAGCGUUUGUAGGUGGUUUAGUAAGUCUAUUGUUAAAGCUUGAAGCUCAACUUCAAAAAUGUAAUAGAAACUACUAGACUUGAGGAUAGUAGGGGUAAAGGGAAUUUCCAGUGGAGCGGUGAAAUGCGUAGAGAUUGGAAGGACCACCGAUGGCGAAGGCACUUUACUGGGCUAUUUCUGACACUAAGAGACGAAAGCUAGGGUAGCGAAUGGGAUUAGAUACCCCAGUAGUC
Molecule: ribosomal RNA, 703 nt
Filed under: uncultured bacterium
Lineage: Bacteria
Description: bacterial SSU rRNA
Rfam family: Bacterial small subunit ribosomal RNA
Source: RNAcentral